ACAUGAAGNUGGAAUCGCUAGUAAUCGCGGAUCAGAAUGCCGCGGUGAAUACGUUCCCGGGUCUUGUACACACCGCCCGUCACACCAUGGGAGUCGGAAAUGCCCGAAGUCUGUGACCCAACCUUAGGGAGGGAGCAGCCGAAGGCAGGUCGGAUGACUGGGGUGAAGUCGUAACAAGGUACC
This 183-nucleotide ribosomal RNA is filed under the name uncultured bacterium. RNAcentral's name for it is "partial 16S ribosomal RNA". It matches the Rfam family "Bacterial small subunit ribosomal RNA", at positions 1318 to 1500 of the family's 1533-position model. The record is from RNAcentral.